GAUGAACGCUAGCUACAGGCUUAACACAUGCAAGUCGAACGGAGCUUGCUUGUCAGAUCCUUUCGGGGUGACGACUUGUAAGCUUAGUGGCGAACGGGUGAGUAACACGUGAGUAACCUGCCCCAGAGUGGGGGACAACAGUUGGAAACGACUGCUAAUACCGCAUAAGCCCACGGAACCGCAUGGUUCAGAGGGAAAAGGAGCAAUUCGCUUUGGGAUGGACUCGCGUCCGAUUAGCUAGAUGGUGAGGUAACGGCCCACCAUGGCGACGAUCGGUAGCCGGACUGAGAGGUUGAUCGGCCACAUUGGGACUGAGACACGGCCCAG
Molecule: ribosomal RNA, 327 nt
Filed under: uncultured bacterium
Lineage: Bacteria
Description: bacterial SSU rRNA
Rfam family: Bacterial small subunit ribosomal RNA
Source: RNAcentral